This 508-nucleotide ribosomal RNA is filed under the name uncultured bacterium. Its description in RNAcentral is "partial 16S ribosomal RNA". It matches the Rfam family "Bacterial small subunit ribosomal RNA", at positions 28 to 505 of the family's 1533-position model. The record is from RNAcentral.
GACGAACGCUGGCGGCGUGCUUAACACAUGCAAGUCGAACGAAGAGCGAUGGGAGCUUGCUUCUAUCAAUCUUAGUGGCGAACGGGUGAGUAACGCGUAAUCAACCUGCCCUUCAGAGGGGGACAACAGUUGGAAACGACUGCUAAUACCGCAUACGAUCUAAUCUCGGCAUCGAGGAUAGAUGAAAGGUGGCCUCUACAUGUAAGCUAUCACUGAAGGAGGGGAUUGCGUCUGAUUAGCUAGUUGGAGGGGUAACGGCCCACCAAGGCGAUGAUCAGUAGCCGGUCUGAGAGGAUGAACGGCCACAUUGGGACUGAGACACGGCCCAGACUCCUACGGGAGGCAGCAGUGGGGAAUCUUCCGCAAUGGACGAAAGUCUGACGGAGCAACGCCGCGUGAGUGAUGACGGCCUUCGGGUUGUAAAGCUCUGUUAAUCGGGACGAAAGGCCUUCUUGCGAACAGUUAGAAGGAUUGACGGUACCGGAAUAGAAAGCCACGGCUAACUACG